Molecule: long non-coding RNA, 7200 nt
Filed under: Sus scrofa (pig)
Lineage: Eukaryota; Metazoa; Chordata; Mammalia; Artiodactyla; Suidae
Description: lncRNA (ENSSSCG00060020866.1)
Source: RNAcentral
GUCCUGAUUAUACCACAGAGGAUGUAUUUCACAGGCUGCUCCUAGAUGCAGGGUCUUGGGAAUGACAGUGAUCAAGCAUGUGGGUGUUACUGGCACAUUUGGAAGUGACAGCAUCAGAGGUGGUGUGUUCCCAGGAGAGUGAGAGCAAUGAGUGGUACUCGAUUGCAGUGCCCUCUUUUUCCCCAACCUCUGAGGUGACUGGGGCUGAAUGUGGAGCCUGAUGGCAGACCUCUAGUGGUGUCAGGCCAUGCCUCCCUCUGGUUUCUGAGGUGACUCCUAUGGUUUUUCCCUGCCACCUAUCCAUCAUGCAAGAGGCACUGUGUGGCUCUUAGCCCCCCACUUCCCUUAGCCCCCACAAGAAGUGCCUGUUCUCAUGUAGCCUGAGCAAGUGGCCUCUUGCCAUCCAUUGCCUGCACCAGAAGCACCCUGCCCUCUGAGAUCCUGAGCAUGCGCAGAGAGAUUCCUAUGGCUUCCACCCCUCUUCCUCUAGCCCUCUCCAACAAUGGUGCCUUGCUUCUCCUGUGGGCCCAGACCUUCUCCUGGGUUCCCUCUGCUAUGCCAUUCCACUCCCCAGCCUGUAGCACACUGCUCCCCUUCCUGUGGCACACUGUUCCUUAGCCUCUUAGGCUGUCCCCACACAGGCAAGCCUAGUCUACUCCCCAGAACUAACCUCUGGAGCCUAAGUCUCAGCAUCUCGCCCCCUCCUGAGUGUUUCAGGCUUUGGUAUCUGGGGUGAUGGUGCAGAUGAUCUCUGUGGCUCUCACUCUACUUUUCCCUCCUCAGUCCAACUGCAGCACUUUGCUCAGCAACUUUGGGGUCCCUCUGUCUCAGCUGAUCUCCUUAUUGGUUAGGUGGCUUCCCAGGCUGUGGGUUACUUUUCUCUUUUAUAGCUCUCUCUCAGGAAUGCUAGUCCUGUCCUGGUUCCUUUUCUCUCUAUUUUUUUUUUCUUUUAUUCUACCCAGAACAAAAGAGUCUCUUCCCUUUAUUGGAGGUUUAAGUUCUUCUGCCAUCAUUGAAUUGAUGUUCUGUGUGCGUCAUUUUAUAUGUAGAUGUGUUUUCUUGAUGUGUUUGUGGGAGAAGGUGAGCGUGACAUCUCACUUCUCCACCAUCUUGAUCCACCCCUCCCCACUUCCAACAUUCUACAUCCUAUUUUAGUCCCACUUAGGUUGUACAACUAACUUCCUUGCUCCUGGCCAGGUUUAGAACCUAGGAAUACCAGGAGUGUUGGUUUGACUCCAGAAAUCACUCGUGGUAGCCAUUUUUGGAUUACCUCUCCCCCAUCUCAGCUCCACUCAAGGUGUAAUAUUAAUCUAAGCCAGGCUAGGUACUUUCAUGUCCCUUGCUUUUGGUUGACUCAAAUAUGCGUGUGACCCAUCUGGCCAAUAAUAUGCUAGAGGACAGUCUACUGGGGCUUUCUACUAAAGCAUUUAUUGUCCCUAGGAGAGAAACACAUAAAAGAAUAGUUUCUCUUCAUCCUCUGGAUGUCACCAUGUCUGGGGAGGAAGCCUGUGUAUCCUGCAGCCAUCUCUGAGCAUGUAACCACCCAUAAAAUGAGGCUCAGGCUGAUGAUGACAGAAUAAGCAGAAGGAAAGAAUUUGGGUCAUUGGUGGCAUUAUUGAAGCGCUAAUCAAAAAUGCCUAGAACCUGUCAUCUUGCUAGACUUCCAGUUUUGUUAAGAUAAAUUUCCUUUUUGCUUUUACUAUAUGCAUUGUAGUUUUUGGUUAUAAUCAGGAAAAUUCAUUCUAGCACAUAUGUUGCAGUUCAUUUUUUUUUAAUUCUGCAAUUAUUUAUUGAGCAUCAGUUAUGUGCUAUGCACUAUUCUAGGUGCUGGUAACACAGAGCUGAAGAAGACACCACUACCUGUUCUUAUUAUACAUAAUAUUCUAAUGGGGGGGGGAGACAGAAAGUAAGUAGAAAUAGAUGGGCUAGCUCAGACACACCAAAUUCUAUAAAGAAAAUAAAGCAGGCUAAGGUACUAAAGAAUUACUAGGAGCACAGAGGUGGAAAGCAGAGACAAACUAUUAGAUGUGUGCAGAAGUGGGCUGAGUACAGGAAUGAGCACACCUCAAUGUUUGUAAUAGCAAAGCUAAUGAUAGUUAUAGACAUAACCUACAUGUCCAUCUGUGGGGGCCUAAUGAGAUAGAUCUUGGGACAUUUAUGUGCUGAAAUAUUGUGUUGUCAAUAAAAAGACUAGAGUGUAACAGUGUAUUGCUUAGGUGACACUCUCUCCAAGGGAAAUUAUUAAUAAAAAUAUAAAGCUGUAUGUGGAAUGUUAUAUAGAGUGUUAUCCCGAUCCUGAGAAUUAGAAAAAGGGUAGGUGAAUCUAAAUAUUUGUAUAAAUACAGUUCUGAAUAGAUAUGCAAGAAAGUGUAUUGGUGUCCUUUAGGAGAGGUGAUAGAAAAGAGACUUGUAUCUUUUAUUUUGUGCCUUUCUGUACAGUUUAGAAUUUAUUGGAGUGCCUGCUAUGGCACAGUGGGUUAAUGAUCCAGCAUGUGUCUGUGGAGGUGCUAGUUCACCCAGGCCAAGGGUAGGUUAAAGAUCCAGCAUUACUGCAGCUGUGGCAUAGGUCACAGCUGUGGCUCAGAUUCAGUUCCUGGGCCAGAAGCUUCCAUAUGCCAUAAUGCUGAAAAAAAAAAAAUGAAAAAGACAAUUUUUUAAAAAAUUUAUUUUACCAUAUACCUUUUUGAUUCAUAGAAAAAAGUCCAUUAAAAAGUUAGUGACACCUGAACUUUCUUUCAAUGCAAAUCUGUGUCGAGAAAUAAUUAAUAUAAGUAAAAUCCAUUGCUUGGGAGGAGUGGUUUUUGAUAUACAUGACAUCAGAGAGGAACCUGGCUUUAAAUAGGAACCAGGCAAAAAAUGAGGCCAUCUGUUCUACCUGGUGUCCCCUGGCAUACACUCUCCCCACCACCAGGAUACAAGCUGCAGGAGAAGAUUCUACGACCAAAAGCUCUGCAACUACCAAGAGCAGCAUUGUAUGUCCCUCUGUGCUGCCAAGAUUAUCUACAAGAUAAUUUCAGGGCAGAGGAUGAGAGAAAAAUGCUGGAGGAUGCUAGCAGAGGCCAAAACCCCAAAAGAUGUUAGGAGUAGCUAAAGAAGGUCUCCCCUGACCAGAAACCUCUGAAGAACUGGAGGUUGAAUGGGACUGCGAGGUUAUUACCAGGUAUGUGUGCAUGACCUUCUGGGGGACUUUACUCCCCAUGUCUUUUGAUCUGAGCCAAGCCAAGAACCUGGGUUGAUUUCACUUAAGCUGUGACCUCCCUCUUCACUGAACAUGUGUUUUGAAAAAUCCUCAUCUGCUCCAUGUCAGACUCCUAUUUGUAACACAAUCAGCAGGUCUCCGAAGGAGGCUGACUCAAAGCCAACUUCAAGAGCAGAACGGAUUGGGCAAUCCACCAUAGUAAUGAAGAAGAUUAGUGGCAGGGUGCUUUUCUGGAUGCCUGAUUUUUUUUUCCUUUUAGUUUUGUCUUCUUGUCUUUUCAAUAUCUAUCACAUAUUUGGUGGCUAGUGAGCCAUUUUCUGAUAAAUUGCACAUGUGGUGAGGAAUGAUGGAUCAGGAUGAGGAAAAUAGGUUUUUGUUCAUCCAUGGAAGCUUCCACAAACUCACAGUACUAUUCUCUAAGUACCUAUCCUUCAGUGUCAGAUGCAGUUGCUUAAUGAUAACUAGAGUUACUUUCAACCUUGGGACUUUUUGCUGUUUCCUGCAUUAACUGUGCAAGUUCAACUGCAUCUUUCAACUUCUUUCUAACUUGCUUCCUCCAUUUUUGACAUAGGAUAGUAAGCAAUCCAUGAAAGAGAAGGAGAAGAUACACAGAGGUUCCCAUUGAGUUUGUGUUACAAAUCCUAAUCUCUAAAAUGUUUUCUCUCAUUUAAAGCAAGCAAGAUUGACAUGUGUGACUUUCCUAUGCCCACGGCCAGGGUCACUAAUUCAGCAUAAAGGCACUCUCCUCAGAACUUCUUAGGAGUGACAGGUAAGCCACACUAUCCACCGUCCCUGCAGGUGCUUGGGCUAGACUUCUUUUUUUAAUUCUAUCCAUGGUUUGGGUCCCAAAGGUAUCAAUUUCCCUUGCAUCUGUACAGCGUGAUUUGUGUGGUGUAGUACAUCAUGCCAUAGCUAACCCCUGACGGCUGAAGAGAUUUUCAUUUGCAUACAACACAUCCUUAUGUUGAGAAGGAAGCUAAACUUUGCUCAUGGAUCAUCAUGUCAUUGAGAGAAAGUCUGGAAAUGUAUGGUUUCCUCAUUAAAUCAUUUCUUGAGACUUGGUGAAGAAUUUUAAAAUAACGUAGAGGGGAAAGAAAUUUUAACCCUCUUUUUCCUUCCAUUCAUUUUCCAUGUCUCCUUUCAAGGGAAUGGAGGAAAAUUGCUAGCAUAAUUGGUAGGUGAUCAAGAAUUAAUUGUGCCAUGAAUAUUAAUGGGUAGGGCCACAGCAUUCCAAGACCCGAACCCACAUUCCGCCCCUCUCUCCUUGCCUCCUGUUAUACACAGCUUGGUUAGUAAGUCACAUCAGGACUUGUCCUUGUCAGGACAUUUCACCUGAGUGUCCUCUUUCAAACUUCAUGAAACACUCACUCUGCUGAGUCAGGAUUCUCCCUGGAGCCCUACCAUCACUCUCUGCCUGCAUGCCAAGUCAUGGUGGACAUGGCACUGGGCUAGCGUCCCAUUCACUUCAAUUCCUUCCAGUGAACAAAACACAUCUAUGGAAGUGGUAGGCUUAUAAUAGUGUACAAAGCAAAGAAAAAUAGAUUUUACAUCCUAGUAAAUAAGUGAAACUAAAUUUUGCCAGAUGGUGAUACAUUCUUUGGAAAAAAAUAAAGCAGGUAAGUGGGACAAGGGAGGGAAGGAUGCAAAGGAGAUGCAUUCUGAUUUCAAGCAGUAGGUUCAUGAAAGCCCUCACUGAGAAGGUGACAGUUGAGCAACAACCAAGGAAGUAUGGUGGAAUCAUGUGACUGUUUUGGGAGAAGAGCAUUCCAGGCAUGGAAAGGAGCAAAGGCAAGGUGCAGGCGCACGUGUUUGGGUAUCUGAAGCAAGGAGGCCAAAUGGCUGCAAAGAGUGAACCAAAGGGAGGAUGAUAGCAGGUAAGGUCAGAGUACAAGAUGAUAGUAGGGAACAGAUGGUAUGGGGCCUUGUGAUGACUCUGGAGUUUACUUGGCAUGAAGGGAAUAGAGAGAGAGCUGUCUUAGAUGCCUGUUGCUGUGGUGACAAAUGACCACAAAUGUAAUAGCUUGCAACGACUGUUAUGGAAGCCUUAAGUCUAAAAUCAGUUUCACUGGACUGAGGUCAAAGUGUUAGCAGGGAUCGUUCCUUCUGCAGCCUGUGAGGAGAGACUCUGUAUCAUGGUCUUUUUCAGCAUCUAGAGGCCACCUGCAUUCCUUUGCUUAUAGACCCUUCUUCCAUCUUCAAAGCAUAUUAUUCCAAUCUCUGCUUCCAUCAUCACAUCACUUUCUACUUUUUUUAGGCUUUGCCCAUGGCAUAUGGAAGUUCCUGGGCCAGGGAUGGAACCUGUGCCCCAGCAGCAACCCAAGCUGCUGCAGGGACAAUGCUGGAUCCUUAACCUGCUGUGCCACAAGGGAACUCCCAUCACAUCACUUUCUCCUCUGACUGACUGUUCCAGAAUCUCUUAUAACUACCAGGGUAGCUACAUCAACUCCCCAGAUAAUCCAGGAUAAUCUCCUCAUCUCAAAAUCCUUAACCGAAUCAUAUCUGAGACAUCUCUUUUGCCAUCUAAGGUAACAUGCAUAGGUUAUAGAGAUUAGGAUUUAGACAUAUUUGAGAAGCCAUUAUUCACUGUACCACACAUACCUUGAUUUGAUUUAGGUUUCCAAAGGAAGAUUUGGAUGCUCUAUUAAGAGCAGAGUUUUGGAAGUGCAAGGGCAGAAACAAGGCAUCCUAUUAAGUGGUUCUUUGUAAAACUUCAGGCAAAAGAUAAUGAUGGUUCAGUUCAGGGUAAUGACAGCAGAGUGGUUGAGAAAUUAUAUCCUGGAUAUGUUUUGAAAACAAGACCAACAAUUUUUUUUUCUUUUUAUGGAUGCAUCUAUGGCAUAUGGAAGUUCCAAGGUUAGGGGUCAAAUCAGAACUGCAGCUGCAGGCCUACACCACAGCCACAGCAACACCAGAUCCCAGCUGCAUCUGUAACUUACACCACAACUUGUGGCAACACCAGAUCGUUAACCCAGUGAUCGAGGCCAGAGAUCAACCCACAUCCUCACGGAGACUAUGUUGGGUUCUUAACCCACUGAACCACAACAGGAACUCCUGGCUUGUUAAUACAGGUAAUUAAAAAAAUAGAAGAGUAACUGAUCUCUUCAAGUUUUCAACCUGAGCAAUUGAAAGGAUAGAUAUGCUUUUUCCAAGGUGAGAAAGUUUAUUGAAGGAGCAGAUUUAGAGGAAAGAUAAUGAGUUUAGCUAUAUAUUAAAUUUGAAAAUAAAUACCAAAUUUGAAAUGCCAUUGAAGAUUCAAAUUGAGAUGACAACAUUUGAAUUAAAUAUUAGGACUUGAACAUAAAUAGUUGAAUCUGAUUAACCUUUACCAUAACUGUGUGCUGAGAGUUGUUAUACUUUCUAGUUUAAAUACCAUUUGGCUGUUAUUCUGUGCAUGUCCUUCACAAGGGAAUAUUGUAAGAAUAGGAGAACAUGGAAGAAGGGCAAAAGCAGGGCAAGAUUUGCAUACCACCCAAACUGACUGCAAUACCAUCAGAAUACCUCGAAAAGACCUCAAAUCCCCUUUAGCCCUCACACAGUAUAUUUGCAAAUAUAGUUGCAAUUUCUAAGGCUGACACUAAGAUCUACCAUAUCUUCUUGCCUCUUGAUUUAUGGUCUAUUUCAGCGGUCUUAAACUCCAGAUUGCAUUAGAAGCAGUAGACGAGUAUGUUAAAAUGCAACUUUCCGGACUUUAUCUGAGGAGUCUGACUGAGCAACAUUGGAUAGUUGAGUAUCAGUAAUCUGAAACCCAGGGAACAGUGUGGAAGGAGAGAGGAAGGACAGAUGGGUCGUGGUAGAUGAUACAUAUAGUAGAAGUUGGGUUUGGUUUGGUUAGAGAUUGAGAAUUGAUUGAAGACUAGCCUUAUGUGAUUAUGACAUCACUUUAUUCUCAUGAACCCUAAGAAAUAGGAGAACAGUAUUAUUAUUAUUAGUUUCCUUUUACAUAAAAGAAAAUGGAAACCCUGCCAUUUUGGUGUGCAUGGCCAAAAGAAAAAGAAAAAAAA